This 402-nucleotide ribosomal RNA is filed under the name uncultured bacterium. RNAcentral's name for it is "bacterial SSU rRNA". It matches the Rfam family "Bacterial small subunit ribosomal RNA", at positions 355 to 774 of the family's 1533-position model. The record is from RNAcentral.
UCGGGAAUUUUGGGCAAUGGGCGAAAGCCUGACCCAGCAACGCCGCGUGAGGGAUGAAGUAUUUCGGUAUGUAAACCUCGAAAGAAUGGGAAGAAUAAAUGACGGUACCACUUAUAAGCUCCGGCUAACUACGUGCCAGCAGCCGCGGUAAUACGUAGGGAGCGAGCGUUGUUCGGAUUUACUGGGCGUAAAGGGCGCGUAGGCGGCGCGGUAAGUCACUUGUGAAAUCUCUGAGCUUAACUCAGAACGGCCAAGUGAUACUGCUGUGCUAGAGUGCGGAAGAGGCAACCUGAAUUCUUGGUGUAGCGGUGAAAUGCGUAGAUAUCAAGAGGAACACCUGAGGCGAAGGCGGGUUGCUGGGCCGACACUGACGCUGAUGCGCGAAAGCCAGGGGAGCAAACG